GCACAUUGGAAGUCCAUUAUAAACCCAAGAACAUCUGGUUGGAUUGCUAUGUAUAAAUAAAAGUAUGUUUUUAUAUUAAAAGGUUAUAAGGCAGAUCUUCAUUGUGUACUCCUUGGAUGUUAAAAACCUACAAACUUCAAAAAUACGAACAACUUCAAAUCCAAAGCUGACUACCAACAGCACAAAGCUGGAAGAUUUUUGAAUAUGUGGACUCUUUUUUCUUUCCAGUCUCCUGACUUGGUCAUUGAUUAGGCAAUGGGGAGAGAACAAUUGGAAGCACUCAAGACAAGAAGAGCAGGAGCAAGUUUCAUUCAAACUACAGUCAGAAAGGUUUACAAGGAGUCCUGGGAAUGCUGUGGAAGUGAUUUGAGCAAGUGGUUGCUACAGAGAAAGAUCCCCAAAUGAAAGAUUGAAGGCAAACGAGGUCCGGGCAGAAGAACAUCAAAACCUAAGGGACUGGUUUAGACAAAACUCAGCAGCACUUUUUCAUGUGGCUGUUGACAAAAAUAGGAUUGCCAACAUGAUUGCCAAUGUCUGAUGACGGAUAUGGCAGAAGAAGAAGAAGAAUUGAUUUUGCAUUAAUCUUGUUACCUUUUUCUUGAACAAUGGUGGUAUCCUUCAGCAUGGAUGCAUUUUUUGCUCAUAGUUAAAUAUGUUAUGCAUCCCCUCCAUAAGCAAACCAUGUCUAUUGUUUAACAAUUCACCAUCUAAUUCUUGCAGUUUUAAUGUAUCGUAACAUUCUCAUAGCAUCUAUUACUUCCUUAUGAUCAAUUCCUCCUGUAUAAACCCAAAAAUGGGGCAGUACUGGAUUUCAGGAGGUUUUUAUUCAUUUACUUAUACUUUUAUUGUUUUUAAAACAGUGACAAAAAGAAAUGGGGAAAAACCGUGCAAAGAUGAAAAUAUGUACAUUGUCAAAGACAAUAGAAAAUUCUUUUAAAAGAAAAUGAGGAAAAAUACAACAAAGGGGGAAAAGUGUUAUAUAUCAUAGUUAUAUAAAUGUACUAUAAGUAUAAAUAUACUUAAAUAAUAAUUGCAUUAGACAACUAUAUAUAGAAUCAUAAUUAUUUACUGUUAAAACAGUAUUGAAUAUCAGGAGUAAGAGUCUCUUAGGACAAGCUGAAGGAAAUGGGUUUAAUUACGGGCACUAUUUCAAAUAUUCUGUGGUUACAUAGAGAGAAGGGAAUGAAGAAAGAUGUAAGUAGGAAUCAGGAAACAGUAUUUCUUUUUUCUGUUUGCCCUGAAAAAGAAAGAAAAUUAUAAUUUUACUCAGUGGCCAUUGCAAUACAAGAAUGCAAAUGCACAAAUAAAAGUAGAAUAAAAUGUACGGAGAUUUAAAACCAAAUUGAACAAUACAUCAAAGCAUAAAAGCAUUAUGACCAUUCAUUCCCUUUAUUGUCAAUUCUAAUCUCAAAGAGAAGAGUUGUUGGAAUGUCUGGUUACUGUAGGAAUCUUUGCAACCUGCUCAGUAAUGUGAGAAUAUAUUGAAAUAUGGCAAAGAGAUGGAACAAAUAAAAAAAAAUGUAUGAUAAAGUGGAUGCAAAACUUCAAAGAAAUAAUCAUAGUACAAUACUGUGGUUUACUUAAGAGAAAUCUAAUUUAAGAGAAAUUAAUAUAAAAUGUGUUACAGAUGGUAUAUAUCUACACCAAUAAUUAUGAUGAUAGACAAAUUGUAUAACAAUAAAUGCUGACCAUGUUGUAGCAAAGAAGAAACAUUUUUAUUAUGUGUGGUGGUUAUGUAAAAGAAAAUUUCAAAAGUACCAGAAAGAAAUACACAAAAGAUGCUCAGAAAAUCUUAAAAGUAAGAUUUGAAUAGAAACCACACAUAUUUUUAUUACUUAUGAUCUCAGAAAACCUAAAUGAAAAGUAACACGAUAAGAUAUAAGUUGCUGCAAGAACAGAUUUGGCGCAACAUUGAAAAAGAAUAAUUUUGUUGACAAUACAAGAUUGGGAAAAUAAAAAGGAAGAAUAUGCAGCAAUGACAAAAUCGACAAUAUAUAAUAGAAGUUCAAGCAAAUUUAAGCAAGAACAACUGCUUUUAUUUACUACCUAUUACACAACAGGGCAAAUUUAGACAUAUGGAAUAUGUUUUCUGGAAAAAAGAUUAUAAGACCAAUUAAAGAUAAUGGAUGAAAGGGCUUUAAUAGAUACUAGCAAUGAUCUUUAAUGUUCACUAUAAAAGAUAAAAAUCUAAAUUGUGGUCAACAGUAAGAGAAACAAGUGGAAGACAUGAAGAGAAUGUGUCACUAGCAUGUUAUCCCACAGUGUUUUUAUUUGUGCUUAGUAGUUGUUCUCUUUGUUUUAUUUGUCACUAUCUAAUACAGAUUUUGUUCCUUCUAUUUCAGUAUGCUAAUAGUAAAAAUAUUAAAAGAAAACCAAAAUAAUACUUCUUCAUGGAUUUUGUCACAAUUUAACAUCUGUGAAUGCCAUUCCAUGGCCAGGGAAGAUAUGACAAGAGAGUCCUUCUUGGAUUGACCUAUAUUUGACAAGUAAACAACAUCAAUAUGUUUUCAAUUCUCUGCUACAACAGAUGCAUUUAUGAUUAACCAAGAGAAAGAGAUAAUUUCUCCCAUCUAGGACCGUGAACAAACUUAGUGCAACGAAGCUUUCUUCAGUAAGGGAAAAGUUAGUGUACAGAGAACAUGCUUUAUCAGAAUUUGUUUAAAAUUUAUUAUGCACUUUGAAAAAAAUAACAAUGGCUGAUGAUUUCCAAGUUGAACCCAGAGUCCUAUUAACAAAUCUGGCUUCUUAAAUGCACUCUGUGCUCUCUAUUUGGGGCAAAGCUUAUAUAAUACAGAUGUUCUGUUGGGUGAUAAACUUGAAUAGAGUCUCCUAUGUCAAUGAUUCUUGAUAACAUCUAACAGCAGUCCUGUGGUAUUUGAAGAAACUUUUCUCAACGCUGAAACAUUCAUUAGUCAGUUUCUAUUAAUAGAAAUGCUAUUGGAAUCUCAGAAAAAGGGCUGUAAUUCUUCUGGUAAACUUGUUUUGUGAACUCUCCGGCCUUAUUUUUGUCCCCCAAAUCUCUGUACCAUUAAUGCUUAAAAUCCAGUUUUCUCUACAUAAAUAUUGUGCAGGUUUUCUAAAUGUCUAUCACUGUGGAAGAGAAAUCAGAGUACAAGUACCCUUAUGACUGGCUGCUUAGUGACCAUUUGAAAUUAUGACCUACCUGAAAAAAAGAAGAUUUUUUGACCUAGAUCUAAAGUUCUGACAGUUGCCCCUCCCAUGGUCAUAUGACACACUUUGAGCACUCAACAAAAUGGAUUUUAUGACUGUUUGCAGUGUCUGAUAAUCAUGCGAGCAUGUUUUAAAAUGGUUUUGUAGAAAACUGGCACUUCAAGUUUUCAGCAAAACUGUGCUAUAGGAAUAAUGGAUUUGCUUAACAAUCCUGGCAUUUGUACUUAAAUGGCAGCAGUAUUCCCUUAAUGACCGUCACAAAAAAAAUCAUCAUAACUGACUUCUUUUAUGACAGUUACAACUUGCAACCAUAAUGGGAAGACUCCAUUACAGUCAUAAUUUGAGGACUACCUGUACUGUAUUGUAAUAGAGUUGUCUCAGCUUUUUGACUGCCUGCUUAUAGACGCUCUAUGUAUCCUCCUCUAUAGCUGCUGUCUUUGACACCUACACUAUGCAUGGCAUGCUUUCGUGAUCUCAUGCCGACAUUGAUCUUAAUUGUCUUGGAUUCCUUUUUAAAAAUUUUUUUUCAGAAAUCAUUCAUCUUGGUCAACCCCCUCAUAAGAUGAUGAGGGUAAGGACUUACCACAGAGCUUGUUUCUGUGUAUACCAGAAGAGGCAUGUUCUCAUCUCAAUAGAUGGAGAAAAAAACAUGAAAUUCAAAUUCAAAUUUAAAGUGAUACUCAUUGCUGAAAUAAAAAUUAAAAGAGGAAAGAACCUGUAAUGUAAGUCUGUUUCAUGCCUCUUUUAAUAUGUACACUGUCUGUUAAAGCUUAGGAGGGUCCUACCAGGGGUGAAAUGCUACUGGUUUGCAAUAGUUCAGGCGAAUCAGUAGUGAUAAAAACUACCGGUUUGCGUGAACCGGUAGUUAAAAAAAGCUACCGGUUCAUCCGAACUGGUAUUUCCGACGAUCAGCAGUGGUCGAUCGAUGUGCUGCGUGGUUUAUAUUCUCUAGAAAGCAGGAAAUCCUGCUUUCCAGCGAAGCUAAAUCGCAUGGCACAGUUGUUCUUCCCCCUCACUGUUCUACUUAUCUUCCCAAGCCUCCUUUUUCCACACUCCUUUGUGAAGUGUGUGUUUGGUGUGCACUGCGCAUACACACGCAGUAUGCUUUUAGCAUGUAAUGCACAUGUGCUCACGUGUAGCGUGCUUUUGGCACACACAUAACAAUCCCCAAACACCCCCCACCCACCCACCACAAAUCCCCCACCCCUAAACCACCCAAACAUCCACACAACAGACAAAGUAAUGCUAUCCAACAGCUCACUGAUGGUGGCCCUUUAGUUCAUUGUUGAGUGCAAUUAUAGCUCUGGGAUAAAAACUAUUCAGAAAAUGUGUGGUCCGAGUUUUAAUUGUUCUGUAUCUUCUGCCAUAAGGCAACAGUCCAAAAAGAUUGUAAGCAGGAUGGGAAGAGUCUCUGAGAAUGUUAUGCAACUUCCUCAAACAGCGAGAUUCGAAGCUGUCAUCCAGGGCUGGUAGCUGGAGCCCAAUGAUAUUCUGGGCAGUUUUAAUGAUUCUCUGUAGAGCUUUUUUGUCCGCUACAGAGUUGCUCCCAUACCAUGCAAGAAUGCUGUAUGUCAGGACACUCUCAAUGGUGCUGCGAUAGUAGGACAGAAGUAGAUGUUGAGAUAGAUUUAUCUUCAUGAGCAUUCUUGGGAAGUACAGCCUUUUCUGUGCCUUCUUCACAAGCAUGUUAACAUUCAUAGUCCAUGCGAGGUCCUUCGAGAUAUAAAUGUCCAGAAAUUUAAAACCACCAACCCUCUCCAUCUCCUCACCAUUUACUGUAUGUACAAUGGUAAAUGUACAUCUCUCUUCUUCCUGAAGUCAAUUACAAAUUCUUUAGUUUCAUUGGUGUUAAGUGUAAGAUUAUUUUCUUUAUACCACAAUGUCAGCCCUUGUACUUCCUUUCUAUAAGCAGACUCAUUGUUCUUAUUAAUGAGCCUCACCACUGUCGUGUCAUCUGCAAAUUUAAUAAUUCCAUUGGUGUUAUACAAUGGGGUGCAGUCAUGUGUAUACAAGGAAUAAAGGAAGGGGCUUAGCACACAACCCUAGGGGGCUCCUGUGCUUAGUAUCAGAGUAGAGGAAUGGUGAGAUUCCAUCCUUACUGCCUGUGGCCUAUCUGUCAGAAAAUCCUUUAUCCACAAACAAAUCCUCUGAUUUAUACCCAAAUUGGACAUUUUAAAAAAACAACCUGUUGGGUAGAAUGGUAUUGAAGGCAGAGCUAUAAUCCACAAAUAACCUUACAUAUGUUCCCUAUUGUUCCAAAUGAUUCAAAAAGUAACUUUGAGACUAGUCCUCACAUUUAUCACCAUUGCAGCAUCCUGCAGUCAUGUGAUUGCCAUUUGUGUGUUUCCCAACUGCUUGUGACAAGGUGAGUUAAUAGAGAACAUGGAAGUAAAAUUGUAAGCCACGUGAUGUUUUGCUUAACAACUCUGGUGAUUCACUUAAUGACCAAAGAGCUUGUAAGCCCAUUGCAAUCUUGUGAUGAUUUGGCGCUAAGCAAUGGAGUUGCUGAUCCCAAUUCCAUUUGCUAAAUGACAACUUACAGUAUGUAUAUACAGGUAGUCCUCAAUUUACAACCAAAACUGAGCCCAGAAUUUAUGUUGCUAACUGAGAAAUUGGUUAAGUGAGUUUUGCCCCAUUUUACAACUUUUCUUUUCACAUUUGUUAAUUGAAUCACUGUAGUUGUUAAAUUAGUAACACGGUUGUUAACUGAAUCUGGUUUUCCCAUUAACUUUGCUUGUCGGAAGAUUGCAAAAGGUGUUCACGUGACCCCGAGACACUGCAAUCAUCAUAAAUGGGACUCAGUUGUCAAGCAUCCAAAUGUAAAUAAUGUGACCAUGGGGAUGCUGCAACGGUCAUAAGUGUGAAAAAUGGUCAUAUGUCACUUUUUUCAGUGCUGUUGUAACUUCGAAUGGUCAGUAAGUGAACUGUUGUAAGUUGAGGACUACCUGUAUUGUAAGUGAAUACUGUAGAAUAAAGCACCAGCUUCUUGUUUUUUGAAA
This is a long non-coding RNA of Pantherophis guttatus, 6170 nucleotides long. RefSeq lists it as uncharacterized. The record is from RefSeq and is a predicted model, not a curated record. Lineage: Eukaryota; Metazoa; Chordata; Lepidosauria; Squamata; Colubridae.